AUGCCCUCUUGAGCUUGGCCCCUGUGAAUGGAUCCAAACAGCUGCUCCGCCUGGUGGAAUCUGAGAAGAGGGGAGCAGCCCUUGAAGAUCAUCAGCUGUGACUCCCCUGGGCAGCUGCACCUGCUGAUAGUGAAUGAGAUGGGGCCCAGACUGCAGAAAGUGGCCUCAUGGCAGGCACAUCAAUUCAAGGCCUGGAUGCCUUCAAUUGCUGGCAUACAGAAAUUAUAUAUUCAGGGGGUGAUGACUACUGGCCUACUGAGGGGCUGAGACAACAGGGAACCUGGCAGAUUUCUCUUCACCAUCAAGAGAUACUCCAUGGGUGUGUGCAGUAUCCAGAGAAGCCCCCAUCGAGAGCAUGUCCUGGCCACAGGAAGCUAUGAUGAGCACAUCCUACUGUGGGAUAUAUGAAACAUGAAGCAAUCAUUGGCAGACACACCUGUGCAGGGUGGGGUAUGGAGAAUCAAGUGGCACCCUUUCCACCACCACCUGCUUCUGGUCGCCUGUAUGCACAGUGGCUGUAAGAUCCUCAACUGCCCAAAGGCAAUGGAGGAGAAGCAGGAGGCGACGGUCCUGGCAUAUCACACAUUGCCUAACUUGCUGGUGUACGGAGCCGACUGGUCAUAGCUGCUCUUUCAUUCUCUGCAACUGGCCCUCUCGCGGCCCUGUCCUAGCAACCUGGGAACCAAGACAGCAGACCUGAAGGGUACAAGCAAGUUGUCAGCACCCUGUCGUGAAUGCAUGGAGGAUAAUGAUGGAGAGGGCUGGGGAGUGAAGCCACUCACAGAGGACAUGAGGAGGAAUGGCACCUGGCUGUGGGCUACAGCAGCUGCCAAGCGUGACUGUGGCCUGAGCCCAGAAGAAGCAGACUCAGCCUUCAGCCUCCUAGCCACCUGCUCUUUCUAUCAGCAUGCGCCCCACCUCUGGGAGUGGGAGGGGAGCUGA
Molecule: non-coding RNA, 942 nt
Organism: Callithrix jacchus (white-tufted-ear marmoset)
Lineage: Eukaryota; Metazoa; Chordata; Mammalia; Primates; Cebidae
Source: RefSeq, a predicted model, not a curated record